This 212-nucleotide ribosomal RNA is filed under the name uncultured bacterium. RNAcentral's name for it is "partial 16S ribosomal RNA". It matches the Rfam family "Bacterial small subunit ribosomal RNA", at positions 28 to 239 of the family's 1533-position model. The record is from RNAcentral.
GACGAACGCUGGCGGCGUGCCUAAAACAUGCAAGUCGAACGAGGGUAGUAAUACCUUAGUGGCGAACGGCGGAGUAAUACAUAAGCAACGUGCCCCGAAGACUGGGAUAUACAGCCGAAAGGCUGGGCAAUACCGGAUGUGACGGAAGGAUGGCAUCAUUCCUUUCCUAAUUAAACUUAGUUUUUUGUCGUUCGGGAGGCGGUCUUAGUCGG